CACACAACACUCAACUCAGUCAAGAAGAAAGCAUUUCUCUCCUUUCAGACUCAGAAAAAAAUAUAUGAAAAUUUGGGCCAUUUUAACAACAUUAAACUGCAAGUCACCUGAAUUAAUUUUUACAUCAGCAGCAACGAAUGAAAGUUUGGAGAAAUAUGUUGAUUUGAAGAGUAAUUUUCAUUAUCAACUUCAAUGUUAGUCACUUUCAUUAAAAGCAUCAAAGAUCAUUUGUGAGCAAACACAAUAACUGCAGGAAUUCAUUACAAUUAUUGAUGCCAGCAUGAGACAAUGGGGUGAAAAUUAUGUUUUAAAAAAAAUUGAAAACAUUACUUUUGGCUUGUAUGUCUACUAUAACUUUAAAAAUAACUUUUACAAAUUUUAACAAAAAUGCAAUUAAGUAUCCAUAAUUUCCAGUUUUAAAAUAUCUGCAGGCUUUACUUGAAAAUCAAUGCACUAAUCUGAAAAUUUAAGUUUAAACUGUCUUAAAUUUUCAAGUAAAAUCAAAGUAAUGCCAAAAUGACAAACUAAUGCAAAUUUUAUUUCAGAGCAUAUUUUUAAACAUUUAGAAUUUAAUUAUCAUUGAGGAAAAAAAGAGUUCAAGCUCUGAAAACUCAUAUUCAAAAUCAAUUUGAAAUAACAGAAGUGAUUAUAAUUCACUGGAUGAAAACAAAAAUUCCAUUGACAAUGAAAACCAUAUUUACAAUGUUGACUGCCAAACAUUCAAACUAAAAAAUAAAAUUCAAUAAAUGAGUGUAAAAGUGCAUGUUCUCAAAGUCUCACAGGAGAGAUUCUGGUUAAUAUACUAAUAUUUGUCUUGUAGAUUUAUUCAGAAGUGAAUGAUCUGAUACAAUUUAUAAUAGACUGGCUAUUAGAAGAUUAAAUAUUGUGAAAAAGAUUCAUUUUUCUCAUUUCAGUAAUUGUGUCUCUGUUAAUGAGUGACUGUCUUCAGGUAAAUGAUCUGGAGUGUGUUUGCAUAUUGAUCAGAUGCUUCAGUGCUCUGAGAGUGUUUAUAGUGCUGUGAGUUUAACACUUCAUCACUGACACACACAACAAUCUUCAUCAACAUGACCUUCAUCAUCAUCUUCAUCUGGACACUUUCAUGCUGCUUUAUACUACAAGGGUGUAAAGCUCAGAUCACAGUCACUCAGACUCCUUCAGUGAAAACUGCCACACCAGAAGAACGUGUUGAGAUGAGCUGUAAAUUCAGUUCUGCUCCAGGCUGCAGCCCACCCUGUGUGUCCUGGUACUUACAGAAACCCGGAGAAGCUCCUAAACUCCUGAUUUAUUAUACAAACCGCCUCGAGUCAGGAACUCCAUCUAGAUUCAGUGGCAGUGGAUCUGGGACUGAUUUCACUCUGACCAUCAGUGGAGUCCAGACUGAAGAUGCUGGACAUUAUUACUGUCAGAGUUACCACUGGGUCAACAGUAAAGCUGUGUUCACACAGUGAUAAAGAGUCGUACAAAAACCUCCGUCAGUCAGAGUCACAGUGACUGAACUGAUCCUGCAGCUGCUCAAAUACUUAUUUCUCAGCCUCAGAUGUCAUGACCACGGACCCUUGGCUAAACAUCUGAUGCACAUGGCACACAAAAGUGGAAACACUUCAGGAGUUUUGAAGUUGUCGUCGGAUUGGUUGAAUUAUACAGGAUUUCCGGGAGACGUGUGUGUCGCGUCCUUUAACAUUCUGCCUGGAAACAAAGAUGCCGUGACACCAAACCCCUCACGAACGAAGAAAGCCGUCGUGUUUACAAUUGUGACGACAAGCGCUUAUCAGGAUCAACUAGUAUGUGAAAUAUUUAAAGUUUACGGCAUAGAAUCUUUAAAAUACGUCUGAGAGUCUGUUAUUGUGGCGACAUUUCCACGCCCAGAAACAUGACGCUGAACGACACGAACUGUGAUUGGUUAUUUGACAUGUUGGUCAAACAGUCUUAUGGUCAGUCUGAAGGUCUGGCUACGCGAGACUGCUCAAGCACUAUCACUCACUACUGACACACAGAGACAAACACAGCAACUACACAUGAGCUCAGAACUGGGUGAAGAGUGAAAUCAGCUCUAUUAGACUGAGAUCUGUCCUGUGACAGACAGGUUUGACUCACUUAUGCUCAGAAUCAGAGAAAGCGAAGUGUGUAAAUUGACAUAAAAUCAAACAAACAAUAAUGGCGUAAUAUUUGUUUUGAUUUUGUACAAUACACUCAUCUUAUUAUACAGUCAUACAGUAAAGCCAUUGUGUAGCACCAGCAUCAUAAACAUGUUAUUGAGCAGUUUCUCAAGUAGCUCCUUCAUCUCAAGUUAAUAAAGAUGCUGUAAUUCAUAAUUCAUUUCUCAUAACUACUGACAAAUUGAAACAACUUAAAAAAUCUACGUAUGAUCACAUUUUUAUUAAAACAUCUACAUUCCAGGUUUCUAAAUUAUCAAUG
This is a non-coding RNA of Onychostoma macrolepis, 2415 nucleotides long. NCBI's taxonomy places the organism in Eukaryota, Metazoa, Chordata, Actinopteri, Cypriniformes, Cyprinidae. The record is from the annotation of a RefSeq genome assembly.